UGGGGAAUCUUGCACAAUGGGGGCAACCCUGAUGCAGCGACGCCGCGUGAGCGAUGAAGCCCUUCGGGGCGUAAAGCUCUUUCGACCGGAACGAUAAUGACGGUACCGGGAGAAGAAGCUGCGGCUAACUACGUGCCAGCAGCCGCGGUAAUACGUAGGCAGCAAGCGUUGUUCGGAGUUACUGGGCGUAAAGAGUGCGUAGGCGGUUUUCUAAGUUCGGUGUGAAAUCUCCCGGCUUAACUGGGAGGGUGCGCCGAAGACUGGGAAGCUGGAGUGUGGGAGAGGAAAGCGGAAUUCCUGGUGUAGCGGUGAAAUGCGUAGAUAUCAGGAGGAACACCUGCGGUGUAGACAGCUUUCUGGACCAAAACUGACGCUGAGGCACGAAAGCGUGGGUAGCAAACA
This 402-nucleotide ribosomal RNA is filed under the name uncultured bacterium. RNAcentral describes it as "bacterial SSU rRNA". It matches the Rfam family "Bacterial small subunit ribosomal RNA", at positions 355 to 774 of the family's 1533-position model. The record is from RNAcentral.